GACCCAAAAUCCCAUUAUCUGACGCAAAAUCCCAUUACGUUGACGAGAAACCCAACAAGUAGACCCAAAAUCCCAGUAUCGUGACCCAAAAUCCAAUAUCUCGACCCCAAACCCAACACGUUGACAAAAAUAUCCACUAAUGUGACCCAAACUCCAAUACCUUGCCCCAAAAAUCCAUUACGUUGACCAGAAACCCAACAAGUAGACCCAAAAUCCCAAUAUCUUGACCCAAAAUCCCAAUAUCUUGACCCAAAAUCCCAUUACGUUGACCAGAAACCCAACAAAUCCCAUUAACUUGACCCAAACCCUAUUAAAAUAGACCCAAAAUCCCAAUAUCUUGACCCAAAAUCCCAUUGCGUUGACCAGAAACCCAACAAGUAGAACCCAAAAUCCCAAUAUCUUGACUCAAAAUCCCGUUUUGAUACAUGAAAUCCAAUAAAGUGAACUCAAAAUCCAA
Coturnix japonica (Japanese quail) is the source of this 457-nucleotide non-coding RNA. NCBI's taxonomy places the organism in Eukaryota, Metazoa, Chordata, Aves, Galliformes, Phasianidae. The record is from RefSeq and is a predicted model, not a curated record.